CGUAGACUUUAUACACAGAUAUCUAUACUAUAAAGCGGUGGUUUUUAAACUUUUUGUGUCCACGGCUCUUCUGAUUUUGAAAUCCCAAUUAGCGGCUCACUUACGAAUAAUGAUUACAAUAUAAAUUAAAAUAAAUCAAUUUAAUGUAUUACUCUACUAUAUUUACGAUGGACACGACUCGCUUGAUAUAAAACCACGACGCCUCUGGGAGUCGCGACGCACUGGUUGAAAACCACUGCUUUAAAGUAUUAACCGUGAUCAUUGAUAUUAGGUACCCAAGGUUUAUAGAUGGUAAUAUAGACUAUCUAAAAACAUUGUAUAAUUAUUUACUUACAGAUCUUAUCUAUACUUCAAGCCCG
Molecule: non-coding RNA, 359 nt
Organism: Cinara cedri
Lineage: Eukaryota; Metazoa; Arthropoda; Insecta; Hemiptera; Aphididae
Source: the annotation of a GenBank genome assembly